GUAGUUAGCCGGAGCUUCCUCCCUGGGUACCGUCAUCUAUUCGUCCCCAAGGACAGAGGUUUACAACCCGAAGGCCUUCAUCCCUCACGCGGCGUUGCUGGGUCAGGGUUGCCCCCAUUGCCCAAUAUUCCCCACUGCUGCCUCCCGUAGGAGUUUGGACCGUGUCUCAGUUCCAAUGUGGCCGAUCACCCUCUCAGGUCGGCUACCCAUCGCAGGCUUGGUGAGCCGUUACCUCACCAACUACCUAAUGGGACGCGAGCCCAUCUACAAGCGAUAAAUCUUUUACCCCUCUACCAUGCGGUAGUGUGGUCUUAUGCGGUAUUAGCAGCCGUUUCCAGCUGUUGUCCCCCUCUUGUAGGUAGGUUGCUCACGCGUUACUCACCCGUUCGCCACUAGGUGUAAAACCGAAAUCUUACACCCCGUUCGACUUGCAUGUGUUAGGCACGCCGCCAGCGUUCGUCCUGAGCCAGGAUCAAACUCUGA
This 483-nucleotide ribosomal RNA is filed under the name uncultured bacterium. RNAcentral describes it as "partial 16S ribosomal RNA". The record is from RNAcentral.